UUGCCAUUGACGGGUAACGGAGGAUUGGGGUUCGAUUCCGGAGAGGGUGCCUGAGAAACGGCUACCAUGACUACGGUCAGCAGCAGGUGCGCAAAUUGCCCAAUGCUAACACUUAGCGAGGCAGCGACGAAAAAUAGUACUCCUGCGGCGAAAUUCGCCUCAGGAUGCAAUGGAUUGUAUCUAGUAGACACUGCUGAGUAACAAUUGGAGGGCAAGUCUGGUGCCAGCAGCCGCGGUAAUUCCAGCUCCAAGAGCGUAUAUAAAUGUUGUUGCGGUUAAAAAGCCCGUAGUUGGAUUUGAGAACAUUGCUUGUGGCAGCGCCCGUGAGCCUUCGGGUGAGCGGGAAGAGCACCACAUAUAGGCGAUGGUCUGAGACAUGUGGGAUUGUUCACUGGCUGAAGGCACAUUCAGUUGUGCCGGAGGCGAAAUCGGAGCGUUUACACUCCAUAAGGUGCGCCCGCAGACGUCACUGUGAGUAAACCAGAGUGUUCAAGGCAACCACCUAGCGUGGUUGAAUGUUAAAGCAUGGAAUGACAAGGGAUCGACCUUCAGGGCCUCUUUUUGUUGGUUUUUAAGCCUUGAUAGGGGAAUUUUGCGGCUGUGAGUCGGCAUGUUGUCCUUGUGGCAAUGCGUCGACGCGGUCGCGCACGGGAUCAAUAGGAGCACAGGGGGCCAUGAGUAUUGGCGGGCUAGUGGUGAAAUACAUAGACCCCGCCAGGACUGACAUCAGCGAAAGCACUUGGCUAUUGUGCUUUCAUUAAUCAAGGACGAGAGAUCGGGGAUUGAAGAGGAUUAGACACCCUCGUAAUCCGUUCUGUAAAUUCUGCAGACUUGGGAUCGGUCAGCGCUCUGAUUCUAGACCUGAUCGGCACCUUCCUCCUCUAUCGAGAAAUCAAAGUUUUUGUGUUCCGGGGGGAGUACAUUCGCAAGGCUGAAACUUAAAGGAAUUGACGGAGAACCACCACCAGUCGUGGAGUGUGUGGCUUAAUUCGACCCAACACGGGAAAUUUUACCAGGCCAGGACGUGUAAGGAUUGCCAGAUUGAUAGCUCUUGCAUGAUUCCGCGAAGGGUGGUGCAUGGCCGCUUCUGGUUGGUGAAGUGAUUUGUCUGCUUAAUUGCGUUAACGAACGAGAUCUCUGCCAAUUACUAGAUGCCUGUGUCGUCUUAGGUAGCCGGCCGAUAUGCCCUCGUGGUGUGUCGUGCACAUUGGCGCUGAGACGCAGGAUGUUUACUUAUUGGGAUUAUGCAAUUUCAACUGCAUUGAAACAAGAGCCCAAAGCAGGUCUGUGAUGCUCCUAUAUGUUCUGGGCUGCACGCGCACUACACUGAUUCAGCCAACGAGCUUCUGCCUUCCAGGCAGCCUGGUCCGAAGGGAUUGGGGAAUCUUAUGAGCCUGAGUCGUGAUGGGGAUUGAUGUUUGUAAUCAUUCUCCAUGAACGAGGAAUGUCUUGUAUCCGCGUUUCAUCAGAACGCAGAGAAUACGUCCCUGGUUCUUGUACACACCGCCCGUCGUUGCCUGUGAUGGAUUGUGAGUAGAGCCAUCUGGAGGUGCUUGCUGGGGCGACUCAGUAGGUUGCCAAAACUUGGCAAUACUCCCAAUCUAGAAGAGGCAAAAGUCGUAACAAGGUA
Molecule: ribosomal RNA, 1630 nt
Filed under: metagenome
Description: SSU rRNA
Rfam family: Eukaryotic small subunit ribosomal RNA
Source: RNAcentral